GGCGAGACGUCCCUCCGUUUCUUUAAUUUUUUUUUUAGUGCAAAAUAAAAGAUUUGCUAGAUCUCUAUUCUGAUAUCUCUGAGCAUCGAUGGGUUUUUGGGAAGCUUUUCUCAAUUGGCUUCGCAGCCUCUUUUUCAAGCAGGAGAUGGAGCUGUCUUUGAUUGGACUUCAGAAUGCUGGAAAGACUUCUCUUGUAAAUGUUGUUGCAACUGGUGGAUAUAGUGAAGAUAUGAUUCCUACGGUAGGAUUCAACAUGAAAAAAGUAACAAAGGGGAAUGUCACAAUAAAGUUAUGGGAUCUUGGGGGUCAACCUAGAUUCCGCAGUAUGUGGGAGCGGUAUUGUCGUGCAGUUUCUGCCAUUGUUUAUGUGGUUGAUGCUGCUGAUCCUGAUAAUCUGAGCAUCUCAAAAAGCGAACUUCAUGAUUUGUUAAGCAAACCAUCAUUGAUUGGGAUCCCAUUGUUGGUGCUAGGGAACAAGAUUGACAAACCAGGAGCUCUGUCAAAGCAGGCUUUGAC
Molecule: unclassified non-coding RNA, 516 nt
Filed under: Hevea brasiliensis (rubber tree)
Lineage: Eukaryota; Viridiplantae; Streptophyta; Magnoliopsida; Malpighiales; Euphorbiaceae
Source: RNAcentral